UUGAAUCCUUCCACUGAUGGUAAACCUC
RNAcentral lists this small RNA (28 nucleotides) under Bombyx mori (domestic silkworm). Its description in RNAcentral is "ovarian small RNA-37652". The record is from RNAcentral. Lineage: Eukaryota; Metazoa; Arthropoda; Insecta; Lepidoptera; Bombycidae.